GGCUCAAUCUUUAUUGUCAAAAAUGAAACUGCACUCAUGUUUUGUUGUUGUUUUUUUUUUGAAACAGGCCUUCCACACAAUGAAGGGCUGUCAAAAAUCUAAAAUGUAUAAUUGUCAUUGCUUUGCUUUUUGCUACACAGAAAAUAUGUAUAAGGUCCAUUUGGGAAUUCAUUCAUCGUAUUACUGAUUUGGAACUAAUAGUACACACACAUACACACACACAAAAAGGAUUUGAAGAAAAAGAAAAGAUUACUCACACAAAUUAAACCACUGCCUUAUCAAAAGAAAAAAACAAUCUAUUUUGCUACAGAAAAACUUAAAAUUGCAACAUAAAUGUACCACAAAGAAAUCAAAAAGCAAGAAAAAAACCUGUUAGCUCUGUUAUAAAUGAAAAGAUAAACUUUCUUUAGAAUAACUUGUUUAACUCUUAGCACAUUAGAAGCAUUGUAAAAAAUAUUUCACGACAAUGUGUACUCAUUCAUUUCCUUAAGUUGCAUUAAUUAAUUAAAGCAGUCUUGGCGGCUGUGUGGAUUGCAGGUUAGCUCGCUUAGCACCAAAACCUCUUUGCUUUACUGUCGCUUUUAAUAAACGAUGUUUAACCUGAGUUCAGUGUAGCCCAAGAGAAGAUGGUAGAAGUGAUGUACAAAGUGAAUGAGGCAGGGUGAAAUCAAACAGAGACAAUGCAAAACACAACAUCUGGGCUAACGUGAGCUUUAACAUAGCUAAACAGGGGAAGUGAAAUAAAAUGCCCAAUGUGAAUCUUUCAGGGAUGUCUCUCUCCUCUACCCUUCCAGGACGAUACUGCGAGCAGCUCAAUCCAGGUACACCACUAUCUCUUCUCCUGUCUGCUGCUCCGCCUGGUGCACCUCCCCGUCACCUGUCCCGGCCUCUCCAUACACUUCUCCCUCCACCUGUAAGGUGCAGUUGUCCAGCUCAGUCACAAUGUAGUGCGUGCCCUCAUCAUUGACGAUGACCUGGGUAAGGCCUUCCUUCAUCAUCUGGGACGCGGCGAGUUGCAGCACUUCCUGCAUGUCCUCCUGGCCGGUCCCCUGGAUGACCUGCACCUGCCCCUCCUCCGCCUGCUUCACCUCCCCCUGCACUUCACUCUGCACAGCCUCAGCUAUCUCUGGGGUCAAGACCUCAUGAACGAUGGCUGCCUCUCCUUGUAUUUCCUCCUGAUGGCCCAUUUCGCUGACUGCGCUGAGCAGAGCAUCGAGAGCUGUGGAGGACUCUGAGACAAUGUGACUUUGUCCAGCAGCAGCUGCGACUGCUACCCCUCCUCUGGCCACAGCCUGAAACUCCUUUCUGGCCUCCCCUGACUCCAGGACCACGUACUGGGUGCUGCCUCCGGCCAGGUGGGCUCCUGCGGAUGCCACUUCCCUGCCCGAGGCUAUGACUUGUCCGUCUUCAGUGAUG
This is a long non-coding RNA of Oreochromis aureus, 1416 nucleotides long. Lineage: Eukaryota; Metazoa; Chordata; Actinopteri; Cichliformes; Cichlidae. The record is from Ensembl.